Molecule: long non-coding RNA, 596 nt
Organism: Lutra lutra (Eurasian river otter)
Lineage: Eukaryota; Metazoa; Chordata; Mammalia; Carnivora; Mustelidae
Exons: 2
Source: RefSeq, a predicted model, not a curated record
CGGCAGGAGUCCAGGCGGAGCUCGGGGGUUUCGGCGGCGCCCCCAGCUCUCGUCCAGAUCACGUCCAGACCACGUCCAGCCCCGCGCCGCCGGCGCCUCGGAGCCCGUAGACCGCCUAGGGAGAAGCCGCCUGGAAGUAUGCCAGCCAGUGCGCAAAAAGGGAAUGAGAGAACAUCACCAGUCUGCAGUUCCUAAUGAUUUAUGGAUGUAGCAAUGGUAAUGUCUGCUAAUAUCACAAGAACGACCACCAGACUUCGAAUUUUCCUGAUGGAAGUAAACACCACCAUCUGUGAAGUCGCUCUGUGCCUCCCCCAACCCCACGACAAAAAGUCAAACAAAACCUUAUAUCUGAUCAAGCUCCCAGAUCUAAUGAAGAAUUUACAAGAAACAAAGGAGUAAAACCAUCACAAAGAGGCAAAAUCAAGGCUAUAGGAAACUCUAGGAGGCAAAUGAUAUGAUUUCUUCAACAAAAUAUUGCAUGAAAAAAACAAGAGAUGGAAAGGAAAAGAAAGAACCUACAGGUAAAAGAGGUAUGAGACACAUCAACCAGUCACAAUGGAUAAACUUUACUUGGACCUUGAUUCAAAUAAGCAAUA